GACCUUGGGACCUUCAGUAAUCCCUAGUUUUGCUACCCAGUUUAUGCCUUUCUCUUAGAGACCCCCAAAGUUGGAAAGGCUCUUUACCUAAGAAUCUUACCUAAGACUGAGAAAUGAAUACUUAAAAGCAAGUCCUUUUUUGUGUAUGUGGUGUCUUUAAUAAGCCAAGGAAACUGAGAGAGACUGACAAAUAUUCAAUAGUUGCUAGACAUUUAGUUCAGUUCCACACAAACUCUUUCAAGGCCCUCAAACAUUUACCCAAGAGAAACUGCUCAUACUUGGGCUCAUGAGCCAUCAAGGUCCAGAAACCCACAGCUGAGAAAUAGAUAUAUAGUGUAUUUAUCACUGCUUUGGAAAGGCCAGUGCAUAACCUCAUGACAACUGCUUGAAUUCCUUUAGGGAGCAGCUAAUGGAAGGCUUACAGCUGGCCAGCAGGUCUUAGUAAGACCUUGAAACAAACAGUAAACCUCGAGGCUUAUUAUAGUCAGUGUCCAUUCUUUACCAUUUUUCUGGUAGCUUGAUUUAAAUAUGUAGCUUUUUGAAAUUAGAGUGGAGUUGAAACCCAUGAGAAAGGAAGGAAAAUUUUGAUAUUGAAAUUAUGAACUGGGAAAUGACUGGGUUUUCUUAGAAAUACAUAUAUGAUUCUUAUUGUAUGUUUAUCUGAAAAUAAACUGAAAAAAAUCUGGAGUAGAUGUAGGUUUUUUUUGAAAAGGGAGUGAGUAUAUCAUCUGUAUGUUUUGGCAGUUUUGGCAUUUCCAUUCUGAUUUUUUUAAUGUCUUAUUUCUCUUAUUGCAUUUAGCUAUGAACUAUAAUACUGUAUUGAGUGAAGGCAGUUGUAGAAGCAUUUUAGUCUCUCUGCAAAUGUUUCUGUUUCAGUCAUCAUUAACUGGGAUGUUUUCUGUAGAUCUCUGGCAGAUAAUCUUUAUCAGAUUAAGGAAGUUCCCUUCGAUUGCUGGUUUGUUUGCAAGUUUAUCACUAACAGUCUGUUCAAUGGUCUAGUUCCUUUUCUAUAUCCAUUAAUGAUGUGCUUUUUAUUUUUAAUUGGUUAGAUUGGUUAAUUAUGUUAAUAGAUUUUUCUGAUGUUGACUCAUUCAUAUAUUUUUAAAGAAAACCCAUGCGUAGUCUUUUUACACACUAUUGAAUUCCCUUUGCCAUUUUUUUCAUUCAUCCAUUAUUAGUCAAUAAUUAUCAUUUCCUACUUCAUCUAUUUUUGGUACCAAAGGUUUGCAAUUAGCAACCUCUUUAAAUGCUGGGGAAAUGUCACACCUUUUCUAUGCUCUGAGCCUGGUGUCAUUUUUGUUGUUUGUUUUUGAAAGAAUAGAUUUACACUACUAUUAUUUACAGUUUUUAGGGUUAUUAUUCUAGUAAAUUUUCCAUUUCUUCUCAGUAAAAUUAUAAUAAUUUAUACUUCCUUCUGAAUUUUCCCACUUUAUAUUCUCCCACUCUAGUCUCUCAUCUUUCUGAGAAUAUUAAGUAUAUAUGAAUGCACAUACUUACAUAUUUAAAUUUUUUCCUCUUCUCUACGCAUUUUCUCUCUCUUUCCCCAGUAUUCAUAAUUUUUUUUGUUUGUUCCAGUGUGGUCUUUCAUGUCAUCAACCACCUUGAUUUUUCAUUUAUGUCUAAGAAAGAAGCUCUAAUAAGCCAAUUGGAAGUGCUGGAUGUGCGUGUGUAUGUGUGUAGGUAGAAGGGGCAUAAAGUGACAAUUCAUUUUUCACUGGGAAGCACCCAUGCCAGUGUCUAUAGAUACAAUCUCUUGAGAUUCUCUGUUUCCCCAGAGAGGAUUCCUCUGAUGUUCUUUCUGGCUGCUCUGCACCUUGUUGCCAGAAUUGUGGGAGACGACAGGGGAGAAUGAGACUGAGGGAAGGCUCUCUGCUUGGUAUAUGGAGUUUUUCUUCAUCCCCUAUUUAUUUCCUUUCUUUCGUUCCUUUCUUUCUGUCUUUUCUUUUUAGGGCCACAUCCACAGUAUAAGGAAGUUCCCAGGCUAGGGGUCAAAUCGGAGCUAUAGAUGCCAGCCUAUACCACAGCCAGAGCAACACGGGAUCCAAGCCACAUCUACUACCUAGACCACAGCUCAAACGGCAAUGCCAGAUUCUUAGUCCACUGAGAGAGGCCAGGGAUCGAACCUGCAUCCUCGUGGAUACUAGUAGGGUUCUUUACCACUGAGCCACAAUGGGAAUUCCCUCAUCCCCUAUUUUCUACAUAGCGUUUUCUUUUACUUCUGCAAACAUGUCUGGAAAAUGUAAAGCUCUAGUACUUUACCUGAAUACGAGAGGGGCACUGACAUUGCUGUGCAGAGUGGAGAGGGUAUCCCCACCCUGCAUAUUCUGGAAGAACCAUUUAGAGAAUUAAGAAAGUGGGAAUGAACUCACUCUUGAGAACUCUGAAAGAUCUGAGGUUUCCCUUCAUUCCAAGUUUCCAAGUUAGCCUGCCAUCAGUGCAUGGAUGCAGGCAAGACAUGAGACACCUUGGGUUGGAGACAGAAGACAUUAUUACUGACAGCAGUAGUCAUGAUAUUUGCGCCAGUUCUCCGAGCCUCAAUUUUUAUAACACAAAGAGAGCCAGAAAAUACCCAAACAGGUAGAGAGUGGCAUUAGAAAGUGGAACUCUCAGCUUAGGAACCUGAAUCUGCCUUAAUGUGUGGUAAGCCCGCCUGCCCUGUGCUCCAGAGAGAAACACUCUGUCUUCCAAGGCUGUUGACUAUGAAGAUACCCUUGAAAUAAUAAUCUGGGACAAAGGCAGUCAAUAUGUCUGCUCACAAGACAGGUAGAAAUGCAAGAGACCCAAGAGAAUUGUCAAGAGUUCAGAUAUGGACAGCAAAAGCUAAAAGAGAAGGAGGAUGUCUUGUGUGUGAUGUGUGUGAGGUAAGUGCCGGCUUCUACAAUAAAGUGUAGAAAACAUUGAGCAUCACCUAAUGGAGGAAAAGCAGCAUGGCUUUUAUAAGGGGAAUGCAUUCUUUAAGAGGCUAGAUGAACCACUUAUUGUAUAAAUAAGAGAAAUAAUAUAUUUUAAGUUCAAAAAUUGGAAGGGCUCUCUCUAACAUUUGAGCCAUUAAAGUGAAGAAGCCUUAUCUAUUAUAGUUAUAUUAGAGGUAGGUAAUAAAGGUCAAGAUAAAUGGUUAUUUAUCUUCAUAGAUAUGGAUAUACUCCUCAAAGGUGUGAAAAUAUGAAGUCAAUGAAAAUAAAUGGCAGGAAUUUCUUUGCAGCUGGCAGGAAGAGGCAGGUAAAUUUCAGUGAGAAAAUGAAAAGUAAUAUAUUAGAAAAAAAGCAUAGAGGAUGAUCAAAGCACAAAGUACUCUGGUUAUUAAUUAAAAAGGAAGUAUAAUUUGAAGUCACUAUGGGCUUAUUCCUAAGUAGACAGGCCUAAAAGAUUUUUUUUAAGAUGCAUUUAAUGAGGGAGCAGUAAAAACAAAAGCAAGAACCCUUACACAAUUCCUUGGUUCACUUUUAUGCAAUGCAUGUGACUCCCCAUCCAGGCUACUUAGGAAGGUUCAGAGAAGAGCUGGGAAAUGCCUUCAUAAGAGUGGCAAGGGCUCCCAUGUGCAAGUAGCCUGAUAAGACAGAGACUCUGAAGUCUCCAGUGGCAGAAGCAGAAAAGGGAUGUGAUUUAAUUCAAUACAUUAUGAAUCGUAUGAACAGAGCUAAUAUAAGCUCAUUCAGCUCACACAGUACUAGGAAGUACAUGAUGACAUAUUUAGUUCAUUCAAAUUCAACCUUUGUAUUUUGGAAAAUCCCACACAUCAAGGCACUCUGCAACUCCAGGGUGUCAGCUGGGUCUCUCUUUUUUCCUUACUGGAGGCCCCCAAGGACUCAGCCUCUUUAAAGCUGCUAUGAACCACAAAGCCCUAGACCUAUUCAGAACCACACUUAUUUCCUAAAAGUGAUAUGAUUGUCUCUAAUAAUGAUGAUAAUCAUGGCCAACAUUUUUUUUUCGGUUGCACCUGUGGUGAAUGAAAGUUCCCAGGCCGGAGAUUUAAUCCAUGCCACAGCAGCAACCCAAGUGGCUGCAGGGACAACGCAGGCUCCUUAACCCACUGCACCACAACGGAAUUCCCGUGGCCAACAUUUCUUGAGAUCUUACUCUGUUUCUGUCAUUCGCUCAAUGUUUUGUUGUUUUUUUUUUUUUUUUUUUUAGGGCCAUAUCCCUGGCAUAUGAAAGUUCCCAGGCCAGGGGUCGAAUUGGAACUGUAGGCUGCUGGCCUAUGCCGCAGCCGCCACAGCCACACCAGCUUCAAGCUGUGUCUGGGAUCUACAGCACAGCUCAUGGCAACACCAGAAACUUAACCAUCUGAGUAACACCAGGGAUUGAACCCGCGACCUCAUGGAUACUAGUUGGGUUUGUUGCCACUGAGCUACAAUGGAAACUUGCUCAGUGUUUUUUGCAUGGAUUUAUUUGAGCCUCACAACAUUUUUCUGAGUUAAGUGCUAAAAUUAUCUACUGUACAAAUGAGGAAAGCAUAUUACAGACAGAAUUAGACCUUUCCCUAAGAUUCACUUAUUGAGACCUGUGACUUCAGAGCCUCUGAGCUAUAAUGAUUCUCUUGCCACUUCAUCUACAUCUUGAUAAAUGCUGGUCCCUAUAACUAAAUGUCCCCAGUGACACUUGCAUCAUUCACCUUUCCCUCACUGUCUUGGGUAGUACUUCUUCGAUAGUAUACUCUGACCCUAAGACUGAGUUAGAUGCCCCUCCCUUAAGCUUCUGUACCAUCCUACACUAAUCUCCAUCAUAGCCCUCAUUACUCUGUACCAUCAUUCCCUUUUACCCUUCUCCCCAAUGAUGUUCUGAGUUCCAUAACAUCAGGGAUUCUUUCCAAUUUAUUAUUCAAUUCAAUAAUCAUUUAAUGAGGGAGUUCCUGUCAUGGCACAGUGGUUAACAAAUCCAACUGGGAACCAUAAGGUUGCGGGUUCGAUCACUGGCCUCGCUCAGUGGGUUAAGGAUCCGGCAUUGCCGUGAGCUGUGGUCACAGAUGUGGCUCAGAUCCCGAGUUGCUAUGGCUCUGGCAAAGGCCGGUGGCUACAGCUCCGAUUAGACCCCUAACCUAGGAACCUCCAUGUGCUGCAAGAGCGGCCUAAGAAAUCACAAAAAGACAAAUAAAUAAAUAAAUAUUUAAUGAUAAACAAGUAUGUAGUAGCCAUUGAAUCCAUAGAUCUUAGCACAUAGUAGAGGAAUCAGAAAUAUUUGAGGGACAAAUUAAUUAAUACUCUUCUUUGGAAUUCCUUUUCCCCUUAAGAUCAAUUAUAUAUGUUCUUUAAAAGUAAUCUCACAGGAGUUCCCAUCGUGGCGCAGUGGUUAAUGAAUCCAACUAGGAACAAUGAGGUUGCGGGUUUGGUCCCUGCCCUUGCUCAGUGGGUUAACGAUCCGGUGUUGCCAUGAGCUGCGGUGUAGGUUGCAGACGCGGCUCGGAUCCCGCGUUGCUGUGGCUCUGGCGUAGGCUGGUGGCUGCAGCUCCAAUUCGACCCCUAGUCUGGGAACUUCCAUAUGCCGCGGGAGUGGCCCAAGAAAUGGCAAAAAGACAAAAAAAAAAAAAAAAAAAAAAAAAAUUUAAAAUUAAUCUCACAGAAUAAUGUAGGAAUUAAUUGCCACAUUGAAUAAGAUAUGAAACUAAUUGCAUUCACUCAAGCUUCCUGUAAGUAUUACCUUUUAUCUUUAGCUUCCAAUUCCCACUCCAAACAGGUCACUGGAAGUCUUCCUGGUUAAGUAAUUAUGUUUAGUAUCUCUGCAGGUAGGAAGCCUCAAGCCUGGUAUAUACUUAGAGUUUACUUAUAUAGCAUUUACUAGGUGCUCGAUACUUCUCUAAGCACUUUGUAUGUAUGAAUAAUUUAAUCCACACAAUGAUACUGAAGAAGAUACCAUUAGUAAGCCCAUUUUAGAGAUAAACCGAGACAUAGGGAAGUUAAGUCAUAUACCUAUGGUUACAUAGGUGUUGGAGGAAACAGGAUUCAGUCCUGGGCAGUGUGAUUCUAGAGGCUGUACUUUUAAUCACUGAGCCCUAUUGCCUCUCAUUACUCUCACUUUCCUUUUAAAGGCAUAAUGGGAUUUUCAGUUGUGGCUCAGUGGAAACAAACCCAAUUAACAUCCAUGAGGAUGUGGGUUCGAUCCCUGGCCUCACUCAGUGGAUUAAGGAUCCAGUGUUGCCACAAGCUGUGGUGUAGGUCACAGACACAGCUGGAUCCCACGUUGCUGUGGCUGUGGUAUAGGUUGGCACCUGUAGCUCCAAUUAGACCCCUCACCUGGGAACCUCCAUGUGCUACAGGAUUAGCCCUAAAAUUUUUUUUUAAAUAAAAAAUAAGUGCGUAAUGAUGGGAAAUUGCAUUUUGACACAUCAUGAGAGACGAUUUGGUAACAAUUUUGCAGAGAAGAACAAUACUCUAUUAAAGUUCAGGAUGCUGAGAGUCUUUUAACUUUUCAUUUUUCUUCCCUGGUAUUCACUUAUGUGUGAAAUGGCAUGCUUACAGGGUUUUCUAUUCCGGAAUUGUUUAUAAUGGCAAAACUGGAAAAAGCAUCCAUCAGUAAUAAGCUAAUAAAUAAUGACAUAUUUAUAAAGUUAAAAAUUAUGCCACCUUUUUAAAAAUUCAGAUAAUUCUUUAUUCUAUGGAAGGAUAUCCAAGAUAUUGUUAAAUAUAGUGGGGAAGAAAUUAAUGUGUUAUAUGAGCACAGAUGUGCCUGUGUAUUAGCUUGUAUAUAGGAGACAUAUCUGUGUAUUUAUAUAGUAUAUAUUUACAUAUACAGAGUGGAGAGGUGAAAGAAGGGAACAUGCUUACUGAUUACAUUAAUAUGACUUUGCUAUUCAGUUUUCAAUAAUACUACUUUACUGUUCCAUUGUCUUCUUCAACGUGCCAUUACUAUUCCAAAAAACUCUUGCCCAGGAAGACAAAAGUUGUGUAUAGCUUUAUUGUCCUAAGAAAUCUCUACCAAGAACUUAUGUCAAUGACCAUCAAACUAUUCAGCUUUUUAAUAAAUGGCAUAUAAUGACUUAACUCUCUAAGGCAAUUGGAACCUUCAUCUCAAAAAGUAUUGUUUUUUGAGUCUAUCAAUCUUAAAACUAUUACAUCAUGAUUCUUACCCAGUCCUAAGUCCAUGAAUUUAAAAGACUGACCAUAAACCAUACUCCAAAACUUCAUAAAUAGCCCAACUUUGCAAUUGCUUCUAACUGUGCACUGUGACUUGUCAAGGUGGUGGUCUCCCUUAGCAAAUUAAGAAUAAACUCAGUCUUGUUUAUCAAUAGGUUAUUUUGGUGCUAUUCUCAGGGAAACAGCAUUAUAAAAGGGACAAGAAGGAAGUUGAAAAAAGACUAGUCUUUAACUCUGAACCUGUUUUAAUUUCGGAUUUUUGUACAAGUUCUGUGUAUUACCUGUUC
Molecule: long non-coding RNA, 7354 nt
Filed under: Sus scrofa (pig)
Lineage: Eukaryota; Metazoa; Chordata; Mammalia; Artiodactyla; Suidae
Description: lncRNA (ENSSSCG00000056396.1)
Source: RNAcentral